AGUGAACGCUGGCGGUAGGCCUAACACAUGCAAGUCGAACGGCAGCACAGUAAGAGCUUGCUCUUACGGGUGGCGAGUGGCGGCCGGGUGAGGAAUACAUCGGAAUCUACUUUUUCGUGGGGGAUAACGUAGGGAAACUUACGCUAAUACCUCAUACGACCUACGGGUGAAAGCAGGGGAUCUUCGGACCUUUCGCGAUUGAAUGAGUCGAUGUCGGAUUAGCUAGUUGGCGGGGUAAAGGCCCACCAAGGCGACGAUCCGUAGCUGGUCUGGGAGGAUGUUCAGCCACACUGGAACUGAGACACGGGCCAGACUCCUACGGGAGGCAGCAGUGGGGAAUAUUGGACAAUGGGCGCAAGCCUGAUCCAGCCAUACCGCGUGGGUGAAGAAGGCCUUCGGGUUGUAAAGCCCUUUUGUUGGGAAAGAAAAGCAGCAGGUUAAUACCCCGCUGUUCUGACGGUACCCAAAGAAUAAGCACCGGCUAACUUCGU
RNAcentral lists this ribosomal RNA (491 nucleotides) under uncultured bacterium. RNAcentral describes it as "partial 16S ribosomal RNA". It matches the Rfam family "Bacterial small subunit ribosomal RNA", at positions 29 to 506 of the family's 1533-position model. The record is from RNAcentral.